GCCCCCGUAGCUCAGGGGACAGAGCGGUAGCCUUCUAAGCUAAUGGUCGCAGGUUCGAAUCCUGCCGGGGGCG
RNAcentral lists this transfer RNA (73 nucleotides) under Chloroflexota bacterium. Its description in RNAcentral is "Chloroflexi bacterium tRNA-Arg". It matches the Rfam family "tRNA". From Rfam's summary of the family: Transfer RNA (tRNA) molecules are approximately 80 nucleotides in length. RNAcentral also lists the same sequence under 1 other name. The record is from RNAcentral. Lineage: Bacteria; Bacillati; Chloroflexota.